UAGUAACUAAUCUUUAUACUAAAUAAGGAAAAGGCAGUUCUGAAGUUUUCUGUACAUAAUUUACUUUGUAAAAACGUGUAUAUGUAUAUAUCCACAUACACACACACACACACACACACACAAAGCUAUGUGUAUAAUACAUUCUUCCAAAAUUGAUGAAUAAUAAAGCUAGAUAUAUUCACCCACAUGUUAGAGUUAGUGUUCUAAGAUCUUUAGUUACUUUCAAAUUCGUAGAUACUCUGGCCCUGUGUUCUCUUAAAUGGAGCUUUGGCUCCAUCUUGGAGCUGACGUACAAUAUUUCUGAAUAUUUCAUUUAUUAGAAAAACUAAGUUCAGAAAAUUGUCAUUUAUUAUUAGAAUUUAUUUUCUUUAUAAAAAAAAAGCCAACAACAAGAGACUUUUGCAUGGAGGCUUCAAGAAAUAUUUACUUAAGCUCCAGUGAAAUUGUGCUGAUUUAGACAAAGAUUCCAGUGCCUGCCCUCCUCUUGUUCCAAGGAAUUUGCUGUGAGAAUUCUUACUACAUCUAUAAUGUAUUUGGAAUUCUUGGGAGAAAUUUAGUAUUUUAAAUAAUGAAAUUAUUGUAUAUAACUGAAUAUACACAGAUUUUUUUAAAGAAUACAUUUGAUGAAAAAUUCAGCAUCAUAUUGGUCUUUUUGUAAGUGUACGUGAUACACCUGAAGAAGAUGAUAAUUCUCUAGUUUUUUAAGGUAGGUUAUUUUAACUUGUAUUUUUGUUUUAGCUUUUAAAGUUAUAUUCUUUUAAAAGUAUUUAUCAUAUUUCCAUCUUGUUACUUUGAAUCCUGGAGUGGCUGUUGAAAAACACAAAAAGUCACACAUCCUUGGGGAACUAAAAAAUGAAAGAAUGGCUGGGUGUUGUCGGCACAUGCCUUUAAUCCCAGCACUUGGGAAGCAGAGGCGGGUGGAUCUCUUUGAGUUCAAGACCAGCCUGGUCUACAGAUUGAGUUCUGGGAUAGCCAGAGGUGUUAUACAGAGAAACCCAGUCUUUGGAGGGAAAAAGAGAGAAUGAUGCUCUCUUUUUUAAGAUAAGCACAAUUGGCUUGUAACACUUGGGCAAAACACUACAAGAAUGUCUUAAAAAUAGUCCUGUGUGAUAAAAGUAAAAAUACUUGUACUGCUUCUGGUGACUAAGAGCCUACUUCCGACUAUGAUUUUGAUAAUAUUUAAUCUCCCUUUACCUUCUACAUGUUAAGUAGGGCUAAGGUAAUGCUUGUCUUCAGCGUCAACUCUAAGGAGAAACUGGCUGUGCUGUGGUAAUAAGACUGAGAUUGCUUAUUAAAUGUGUUCUCUUA
Molecule: long non-coding RNA, 1308 nt
Filed under: Rattus norvegicus (Norway rat)
Lineage: Eukaryota; Metazoa; Chordata; Mammalia; Rodentia; Muridae
Description: long non-coding RNA NONRATT020459
Source: RNAcentral